RNAcentral lists this small RNA (4412 nucleotides) under Pongo abelii (Sumatran orangutan). Its description in RNAcentral is "retained intron". Lineage: Eukaryota; Metazoa; Chordata; Mammalia; Primates; Hominidae. The record is from RNAcentral.
GUCGCUACCGCUGCGGCCCAGGGCCCGCGGGAGCCCAGGGCGGUGCCGUGUGAGACAAGGCCGGGGUUUGGCUCGGAUUCACCGCGAGGUAUCUAGGCUGCUAUGAUGCCAGGGCCAAGACCUCGGAAGGGCCCUCAGGCCAGAGGCCAAGGGGUGGCCGCUGCCAAGCAGAUGGGGCUCUUUAUGGAGUUUGGCCCUGAGGACAUGCUGCUGGGCAUGGAUGAGGCUGAAGAUGAUGAGGACCUGGAGGCUGAGCUGCUGGCUCUCACAGGGGAAGCACAAACCACAGGCAAGAAGCCAGCACCCAAGGGGCAGGCCCCCCUGCCCAUGGCCCACAUCGAGAAGUUGGCGGCAGACUGUAUGCGGGAUGUGGAGGAGGAGGAGGAGGAAGGGCUGGAGGAAGAUGCAGAGCUGCUGGUGUGUCUGCCAGGCUGGUAUCCCAGGGCUCUGAGACGGAGCUGCAGGAGGUCUUAGGUGUGGACGAGGAGACUGAGCCCCUGGAUGAUGAUGAGGUAGCUGACCCAGGCGGCUCUGAGGAGGAGAACGGCCUAGAAGACACUGAACCUCCAGUGCAGACAGCCAUCCUGACAGCUUCAGCCCCAGCAGCUCAGGUGGGUUCUGGAGGAGGGCCCCUGUGCCUCUGAUGCUCCUGUGUGCCCAGACAUAACACGUGUGUGGCCUGGCCUGCACAGCAAGGCUGCAGUCACCCUUUCCAGGACCCUCCUACAGCAGCCGCCCCAAGCAGAAACUGAGCACAAGAAACUCCUCCGUGGCCGCCAGCCUCAAAGGCCUGUCUGUUCUCCCAGACCACCCCCGGGAGACACUUCCUGGCUUCCACCAAUUGGCCCUCUGUAUUUGCCUCUGCCAUGGCCUCUGGCCUCUCAAGUGAGCCUUUGCUUCCUGCCUUAAGGCUUUUAGGCUCUUCUUUCUCCUGGAGUCCCAGAGCUCCAUCUUCUAGGGCAGCUUCCGCAGAGGGAGAAUGGUAGGCCUAGCAGGCCCUGGAGUGGCCAGGCCCUUAGCUGAAUUGUUCAUAGGCCGGAGCAUCUCAGGGGCUACACGCUUUGCUGGAGGAACGGAUCCACAACUACAGAGAGGCUGCGGCCAGUGCCAAGGAGGCAGGCGAAGCAGCCAAAGCCAGGCGCUGCGAGCGUGGCCUGAAGACCUUGGAGUCGCAGCUAGCCUCUGUGAGGAGAGGCAGAAAGAUCAAUGAGGAUGAGAUCCCACCUCCAGUGGCCUUAGGAAAGCGGCCCCUGGCCCCCCAGGAACCAGCCAACAGGAGCCCUGAGGCAGACCCUCCAGCUCCCCCUGCCUUGGAGUCAGACAACCCCUCCCAACCUGAGACCAGCCUCCCUGGCGUUUCUGCCCAGCCCGUUUCAGACUCAGACCCAGACCCGCGGGCCCUGCUGUCAUCCCGACAGAGAGAGUACAAAGCGGCUGCCCUCAGUGCCAAGCGGGCUGGAGAGCUAGACCGUGCCCGAGAGCUCAUGAGGAUUGGGAAGAGAUUUGGUGCUGUCCUGGAGGCCCUGGAGAAGGGGCAGCCUGUGGAUCUGAGUGCCAUGCCCCCGGCACCUGAGGAUCUGAAGCCCCGGCAGGCUUCUCAGGCCGCCACAGCACCCUCAGUCAUUCCCCCAGCCGUGGAGCGAAUGCAGCCAGUGAUGGCCCCUGAAGUCCCAGCAACCCCAGUGGCCCCUACAGAGUCACAGACAGUGCUGGAUGCCCUGCAGCAGAGGCUGAACAAGUACCGUGAGGCGGGCAUCCAGGCCCGGAGUGGUGGGGACGAGCGCAAGGCUCGGAUGCAUGAGCGCAUUGCCAAGCAAUAUCAAGAUGCUAUUCGAGCACACCGAGCAGGACGCAAAGUCAACUUUGCUGAGUUGCCUGUUCCUCCGGGAUUUCCCCCCAUCCCUGGCCUGGAGCCCACUAUGGGUGUUGAGGAGGACGCAGUGGCAGCGACAUUGGCAGCUGCAGAGAAACUGGCUUCCGCAGAGGAUACAGCCCCAGCUCAUGAAGACGAGGACGAGGUUUGGUUGAGGGCUCAGCUCCAGGGCUGGUGGGGAGAAUAGCAGGUGGAGGGUAAACCCAGACCCUGUUGUCCAUAUUAACAAGCCCAAUAAGGUACAUAUUCUUUCCUCCACUGUACAGAGAAAAAACUUGCCCAAGGACACCCAGCUAGGAAAUAGCAGAGCUAGGAUUCAAAUCAAGGUCUUUCUGAACCCAGAGCCCCGGCUCUAUCCCCAUUACCCUGUAGUCUCUCUCCUGUUGGAGAGGUUAGAUGUGAAAGCUUCUGAGGCUGUUUCUAGCUCUCAGAUCUUUUAGGGCCCAGGAAGAGAAGCCACCCAUCUCAGGUCACAUAGCGAUUUAGUACAGCGUUAGGAAGACAGCCCAAGUCUGGGAGCCGCCAUGGCCAUGCUGGGGAACACAUCCCCUCCUAACAGCCUCCUGGGCACCUGCAGGGUGAGCCCCCAGCACAGGCCCCAGUGGCCAAGAAACCUGCACGGCCUACAGUCCCUUCAUCCCAGCGCCUGCCUGAGCCCAGGGCCUCAAGUUCUAAGGAGUCACCGAGUCCAUCUGUGCGGGAGCAGCUGGCACUGCUGGAGGCACGGAAACUGCAGUACCAACGGGCAGCCCUGCAGGCCAAGCGCAGCCAGGACCUGGAGCAGGCCAAAGCCCAUCUGCGGGUGGCCAAAUGUCUUGAGGCUCAGAUCAUCCAGGCCCGAUCUGGCAGACCUGUUGAUCUGUCCAAGGUGCCUUCACCCUUGACGGAUGAGGAGGGUGACUUCAUCCUCAUCCACCACGAGGACCUGCGACUCUCCCAGAAGGCGGAAGAGGUGUAUGCCCAGCUGCAAAAAAUGCUUCUGGAGCAACAAGAGAAGUGUCUGCUGUUCUCCAAGCAGUUCAUGCACCAGGGCAACGUGGCUGAGACCACCCGGUAAGUGCAAGGGCUGGGACUGGGCUCAUGGGGUGGGGAGAAAAUCCACCGUCAUGCUGACAUACCCAUCCCUGUCAGAUUUGAGAAGCUUGCUCAGGACUGCAAGAAACAGCUGGAGAUCCUGCAGCUGGCCCAGGCUCAGGGCCUCGACCCUCCCAGCCACCACUUUGAGUUGAAGACAUUCCAGACCGUGAGGAUCUUCUCAGAACUCAACAGCACAGAAAUGCAUCUGAUCAUUGUCCGGGGAAUGAACCUCCCAGCCCCUCCAGGGGUGACUCCCGAUGACCUGGAUGCUUUUGUGCGGUUUGAGUUUCACUACCCUAACUCGGACCAGGCUCAAAAAAGCAAAACAGCUGUGGUGAAGAACACAAACUCUCCAGAAUUUGAUCAACUCUUCAAACUAAACAUCAACCGAAACCACCGGGGCUUCAAGAGGGUGAUCCAGAGCAAAGGCAUCAAGUUUGAGAUCUUCCACAAAGGGUCCUUCUUCAGAAGCGACAAGCUGGUUGGCACAGCACACCUGAAACUGGAGCGGCUGGAGAAUGAGUGUGAGAUCAGAGAAAUUGUGGAGGGAGAGGUUCAGAAGGUCAGAGAAAUCUCAUAGAGGGACCCAGGAGAAGGCAGCCUCCUUGUUUCCAUGAACUCAAUGGAUUCCACAGGUCCUGGAUGGAAGGAAGCCCACCGGGGGGAAGCUGGAGGUGAAGGUGAGGCUGCGGGAGCCUCUGAGUGGCCAGGAUGUGCAGAUGGUCACUGAGAACUGGCUGGUUCUGGAGCCCAGGGGCUUGUGAGCCGAUGGCCAGCACCAGGAGAGGAGUCAGGCCGCGACUGUGCAGGAGUUGACUUUCCCAGCUUUGCUGGCUUCAGAAGCCUUUGUACAUAAGAGAGAUGCUGCUACCCAAGUACCAAAGACCUGUUAAGCAUGUGCACUACUGACCAUGACCCUGGUCUUUCCUGUUGGCCCCUCUGGGGCCUCUACAGAAACAGGCUGGGUUCCAGGAGCCCACCUCCCCGCUGUCUCCCCCUGCCCCUAGUCUGGAAGAGGGCAAGGACACCUUCGUUCCUCUGUACCAUGGAGUCCUGCAGCCCCUUAACCCCUGCGUGGCAACUCUGUACAGCUUACACUUGCCUCCAGUUGCACCACUUCUAGAUGUGCCUUUAAAAGAUGUAACUAUGGGAUGGGAGAACUUGAGGGUGAUCGGGAACCUCCCCUGCUGAGGGUGGGGUCAGGGUUCCGUGACUCCAGUGGGCCAGUGGUAGCCUGUCCCAGACAACUCCGUCACCCCAGCUCUGCCCGUGCCUUUAUCCCUGACAGCUGCUGCACUAAGCCUUCCUGCUUCCCUAAGGACUUAGUGGAGGGGGAAAGUUGUUUUUGGUACUACUUGGUAGGAAGUAAGGGGAAGGUUGGAUCUUGGGUUUGGUCCACCCACCCAAGAAAAAAGAAAGACUGUUAACUGGAAGAAAAAAUAUAUAUAUAAAAUUUUAUGUA